AUUGAACGCUGGCGGCAUGCUUUACACAUGCAAGUCGAACGGUAACAGGCCGCUAGGUGCUGACGAGUGAGGAACGGGUGAGUAAUGCACCGGAACGUGCCCAGGCGUGGGGGAUAACUACUCGAAAGAGUAGCUAAUAUCGCACACGAUCUAUGGAGGAAAGCGGGGGAGCGUAUGGGAUCGCGCGAUCGGAGCGGCCGAUGUGGGAGUAUGUAGUUUUGGUGGGAAAGGGCCACCCAGCCAACGAGCUGUAGCUGGGCUGAGAGGGCGAGCAGCCACACUGGGACUGAGACACGGCCCAGACUCCUACGGGAGGCAGCAGUGGGGAAUUUUGGACAAUGGGCGCAAGCCUGAUCCAGCAAUGCCGCGUGCAGGAAGAAGGCCUUCGGGUUGUAAACUGCUUUUGUGCGGAACGAAACGCAUUUGGUUAAUACCCGGGGCUAAUGACGGUACCGUAAGAAUAAGCACCGGCUAACUACGUG
RNAcentral lists this ribosomal RNA (482 nucleotides) under uncultured bacterium. RNAcentral's name for it is "partial 16S ribosomal RNA". It matches the Rfam family "Bacterial small subunit ribosomal RNA", at positions 29 to 507 of the family's 1533-position model. The record is from RNAcentral.